AGGAACUUAGGAUCAAUAAAACCAGGGGCCUUCAAAGCCCCCAAAAAGAGUCGAAUCUCUUAGCU
RNAcentral lists this transfer RNA (65 nucleotides) under Furcifer campani. Its description in RNAcentral is "tRNA-Trp". The record is from RNAcentral. Lineage: Eukaryota; Metazoa; Chordata; Lepidosauria; Squamata; Chamaeleonidae.